RNAcentral lists this ribosomal RNA (424 nucleotides) under uncultured bacterium. RNAcentral's name for it is "partial 16S ribosomal RNA". It matches the Rfam family "Bacterial small subunit ribosomal RNA", at positions 360 to 776 of the family's 1533-position model. The record is from RNAcentral.
AAUUUUUGACAAUGGGGGAAACCCUGGUACAGCCAGCCCGCGUGUAUGAUGAAGGACUUCGGGUUGUACAGUACUUUUGGCAGAGAAGAAAAGGCAUCCCCUAAUACGGGAUGCUGCUGACGGUAUCUGCAGAAUAAGCACCGGCUAACUACGUGCCAGCAGCCGUGGUAAUACGUCGGGUGCAAGCGUUAAGCGGAAUUACUGGGCGUAACGCGUGUGUAGGCGGUUCGGAAAGAAAGAUGUGAAAUCCCAGAGCUCAACCUUGGACCUGCAUUUUUAACUGCCGAGCUACAGUAUGUCAGAGGGGGGUAGAAUUCCACGUGUAGCAGUGAAAUGCGUAGAUAUGUGGAGGAAGAACGAUGGCGAAGGCAGCCCCCUGGGAUAAUACUGACGCUCAGACACGAAAGCGUGGGGAGCAAACAGG